Non-coding RNA from Oncorhynchus masou masou (cherry salmon), 74 nucleotides. The record is from the annotation of a RefSeq genome assembly. Lineage: Eukaryota; Metazoa; Chordata; Actinopteri; Salmoniformes; Salmonidae.
GGCCGGUUAGCUCAGUUGGUUAGAGUGUGGUGCUAAUAACACCAAGGUCAUGGGUUUGAUCCCCGUCCUGGCUA